UCCCAUAUUGCUAAAGAAUGUUGGGUUGCAAACUAUCUUACUAGCACCGAACGGUGGCUACAGAACAACUUCAUUCUACCGAACGUGGUUACCCAGAUACCGUUCGGUCUCUUUGUUUUACAGACUUUUUGUUAUUUCUACUUUCCUUUUUUUUAUUUUUUCUUUUCCUUUGUUUAUAUUCCUUGCUUCCGCUGUACUAAACUCACUUUUCAAUAAUAUUCGUUCAUAGAUUUGUUCUCUCUGGGGUUCUUGUUUCUCUCUUCUCACAAUUCUUACAUGGUAUCAGAAGAAAGAAAAUAAUUAGGGUCCGUUGUUUGCCCUCUUUUCUUCAUCUUCUGUCUGAUCCCUUUCUCAUGGCUUCCUCCACUCCAACCACCACCGUCGUUGCCUCGUCCUCCACCACCGAUCAUCUUACCAAUCCUGCUCAUCCUCUAUUUCUUCAUCCUAGCGAAAACUCAGCCCUCAUUCUUGUCAAUCCGCCUCUCU
RNAcentral lists this long non-coding RNA (486 nucleotides) under Vigna radiata. RNAcentral describes it as "long non-coding RNA (VRAD_LNC001107)". The record is from RNAcentral. Lineage: Eukaryota; Viridiplantae; Streptophyta; Magnoliopsida; Fabales; Fabaceae.